Molecule: long non-coding RNA, 807 nt
Organism: Amaranthus tricolor (Joseph's coat)
Lineage: Eukaryota; Viridiplantae; Streptophyta; Magnoliopsida; Caryophyllales; Amaranthaceae
Exons: 4
Source: RefSeq, a predicted model, not a curated record
CCCCUUUUUAGCUCUUUGUUCACUUACAUACACAAUCUAAACACUCUACCAAAAAUCCUCUUUGUUCUAAUCUAGAUUGUGCAUCAUUACAAGCAUGCAAAGGAUAAAAUAAGAAGUAAAAACAACCCAUAAUAGGCCAUUUCAUCCAGCCAUAAACACAAAUACAUUGCUCCCAAAUUCAUUCAAGAACAAACACUAGAAACCUACAAAGUUUCAACUACUAAAACACCUUCUUUUCUCAUCAAAUCUUCUUUAAAAACCCAUCAAAAACUUCUGAAAAUUUACGUUUUUAAACUCAAAUAUUCCAUAAUAAUAAUCUUCAUUUCAAGAGCUUUACAUAGAGACCAAACUUGAAGAAAACCAUCAAUAAUAGACUAACCAAUAACUCUCAAGUUGUGGGACUUGUUCAACAAGUGUUGCUCAACACUAAUCAAUCUCCAAAGUGACAAAAUAUCAAAGACAAAGGAGUUGGAUUUUAGUUAUUGAGAAGUUGUACAAAGGUUAAAGAGUACUAUUGGAGCAAAGGAUCGAGAGUGAACCCCCAUGGCACCUCGGCGGAGAAUUAAUAUGCGAACGGAGGAUGAACUUAAGUUGGAGUAUGACUCCCUUUUGUUUAGAUCCCUUCAUUGUAUUUGAGAGACUAUUAGUUAGUUGUUUAAAUUUGAACUAUUUUAAAGAUGUAAUUUGAACUUUGGACUUAUUUCGAUUUGGUUGUAAUUUUCCUUUAUUUUGGACAGUUAAGACUUUCGUUAUAUUGCUUUGGUUUUGGUUCAAGUAUUUUACUUGGACAUUGGUUUAACCUUUAAG